UCCAGACUCCUACGGGAGGCAGCAGUGGGGAAUAUUGGUCAAUGGGCGGGAGCCUGAACCAGCCAAGCCGCGUGAAGGAAGAAGGCGCCAGGCGUCGUAAACUUCUUUUGUCGGGGAACAAAGGGCGCCACGCGUGGCGUUGUGAGUGUACCCGAAGAAAAAGCAUCGGCUAGCUCCGUGCCAGCAGCCGCGGUAAUACGGAGGAUGCGAGCGUUAUCCGGAUUUAUUGGGUUUAAAGGGUGCGUAGGCGGUCCGGAAGGUCAGCGGUAAAGGCCGGGGGCUCAACCCCGGCGAGCCGUUGAAACUGGCGGUCUUGAGUGGGCGAGAAGUAUGCGGAAUGCGUGGUGUAGCGGUGAAAUGCAUAGAUAUCACGCAGAACUCCGAUUGCGAAGGCAGCAUACCGGCGCCCGACUGACGCUGAAGCACGAAAGCGUGGGUAUCGAACAGGAUUAGAUACCCUUGUA
RNAcentral lists this ribosomal RNA (464 nucleotides) under uncultured bacterium. RNAcentral describes it as "bacterial SSU rRNA". It matches the Rfam family "Bacterial small subunit ribosomal RNA", at positions 330 to 792 of the family's 1533-position model. The record is from RNAcentral.